GAUGAACGCUGGCGGCGUGCCUAAUACAUGCAAGUCGAGCGAACAGAUGAGGAGCUUGCUCCUCUGACGUUAGCGGCGGACGGGUGAGUAACACGUGGAUAACCUACCUAUAAGACUGGGAUAACUUCGGGGAACCGGAGCUAAUACCGGAUAAUAUAUUGAACCGCAUGGUUCAAUAGUGAAAGACGGUUUUGCUGUCACUUAUAGAUGGAUCCGCGCCGCAUUAGCUAGUUGGUAAGGUAACGGCUUACCAAGGCAACGAUGCGUAGCCGACCUGAGAGGGUGAUCGACCACACUGGAACUGAGACACGGUCCAGACUCCUACGGGAGGCAGCAGUAGGGAAUCUUCCGCAAUGGGCGAAAGCCUGACGGAGCAACGCCGCGUGAGUGAUGAAGGUCUUCUGAUCGUAAAACUCUGUUAUUAGGGAAGAACAAAUGUGUAAGUAACUAUGCACGUCUUGACGGUACCUAAUCAGAAAGCCACGGCUAACUACGUG
This 497-nucleotide ribosomal RNA is filed under the name uncultured bacterium. RNAcentral's name for it is "partial 16S ribosomal RNA". It matches the Rfam family "Bacterial small subunit ribosomal RNA", at positions 28 to 507 of the family's 1533-position model. The record is from RNAcentral.